Molecule: ribosomal RNA, 1041 nt
Filed under: uncultured bacterium
Lineage: Bacteria
Description: bacterial SSU rRNA
Rfam family: Bacterial small subunit ribosomal RNA
Source: RNAcentral
GCAGUCGACGCUGAAGCCUGGUGCUUGCACCGGGUGGAUGAGUGGCGAACGGGUGAGUAACACGUGAGUAACCUGCCCCUGACUUCGGGAUAAGCCCGGGAAACUGGGUCUAAUACCGGAUACGACUGCCGGACGCAUGUCUGGUGGUGGAAAGUUUUUUCGGUUGGGGAUGGGCUCGCGGCCUAUCAGUUUGUUGGUGAGGUAAUGGCUCACCAAGACGACGACGGGUAGCCGGCCUGAGAGGGCGACCGGCCACACUGGGACUGAGACACGGCCCAGACUCCUACGGGAGGCAGCAGUGGGGAAUAUUGCACAAUGGGGGAAACCCUGAUGCAGCGACGCAGCGUGCGGGAUGACGGCCUUCGGGUUGUAAACCGCUUUCAGCAGGGAAGAAGCGCAAGUGACGGUACCUGCAGAAGAAGUACCGGCUAACUACGUGCCAGCAGCCGCGGUAAUACGUAGGGUACGAGCGUUGUCCGGAAUUAUUGGGCGUAAAGAGCUCGUAGGUGGUUGGUCACGUCUGCUGUGGAAACGCAACGCUUAACGUUGCGCGUGCAGUGGGUACGGGCUGACUAGAGUGCAGUAGGGGAGUCUGGAAUUCCUGGUGUAGCGGUGAAAUGCGCAGAUAUCAGGAGGAACACCGGUGGCGAAGGCGGGACUCUGGGCUGUAACUGACACUGAGGAGCGAAAGCAUGGGGAGCGAACAGGAUUAGAUACCCUGGUAGUCCAUGCCGUAAACGUUGGGCACUAGGUGUGGGGGGCAUUCCACGUUCUCCGCGCCGUAGCUAACGCAUUAAGUGCCCCGCCUGGGGGAGUACGGUCGCAAGGCUAAAACUCAAAGGAAUUGACGGGGGCCCGCACAAGCGGCGGAGCAUGCGGAUUAAUUCGAUGCAACGCGAAGAACCUUACCAAGGCUUGACAUACACCGGACCGUCCUGGAAACAGGUCCUCUUCUUUGAAGCUGGUGUACAGGUGGGGGCAUGGUUGUCGUCAGCUCGUGUCGUGAGAAAGUUUGGGGUUAAGUCCCGCAACGAGCGCAAC